UUCUUCGGAUGAAGAUCUUGGUGACUGAGUGGCGGACGGGUGAGUAACGCGUGGGUAACCUGCCUUGUACAGGGGGAUAGCAGCUGGAAACGGCUGGUAAUACCGCAUAAGCGCACGGUAUCGCAUGAUGCAGUGUGAAAAACUCCGGUGGUAUAAGAUGGACCCGCGUUGGAUUAGCUAGUUGGUGAGGUAACGGCCCACCAAGGCGACGAUCAGUAGCCGGACUGAGAGGUUGACCGGCCACAUUGGGACUGAGAUACGGCCCAGACUCC
RNAcentral lists this ribosomal RNA (272 nucleotides) under uncultured Eubacteriales bacterium. RNAcentral's name for it is "uncultured Clostridiales bacterium partial 16S ribosomal RNA". It matches the Rfam family "Bacterial small subunit ribosomal RNA", at positions 73 to 339 of the family's 1533-position model. The record is from RNAcentral. Lineage: Bacteria; Bacillati; Bacillota; Clostridia; Eubacteriales.